Molecule: non-coding RNA, 69 nt
Organism: Rattus norvegicus (Norway rat)
Lineage: Eukaryota; Metazoa; Chordata; Mammalia; Rodentia; Muridae
Source: Rfam
GGGGAUUUAGCUCAGUGGUAGAGCGUUUGCCUAGCAAGCGCAAGGCCCUGGGUUCGGUCCCCAGCUCUG